AUUGAACGCUGGCGGCAUGCCUUACACAUGCAAGUCGAACGGUAACAGGUCUUCGGAUGCUGACGAGUGGCGAACGGGUGAGUAAUACAUCGGAACGUGCCUAGUAGUGGGGGAUAACUACUCGAAAGAGUGGCUAAUACCGCAUGAGAUCUACGGAUGAAAGCAGGGGAUCGCAAGACCUUGUGCUACUAGAGCGGCCGAUGGCAGAUUAGGUAGUUGGUGGGAUAAAAGCUUACCAAGCCGAGGAUCUGUAGCUGGUCUGAGAGGACGAUGCGCCAGCCUGGGACUGAGACACGGGCCAGACUCCGACGGGAGGCAGCAGUGGGGAAUUUUGGACAAUGGGCGAAAGCCUGAUCCGGCAAUGCCGCGUGCAGGAUGAAGGCCUUCGGGUUGUAAACUGCUUUUGUACGGAACGAAAAGCCCCGGGUUAAUACCCUGGGGUCAUGACGGUGCCGUAAGAAUAAGCACCGGCUAACUACGUGCCAGCCGCCGCCGUAA
Molecule: ribosomal RNA, 498 nt
Filed under: uncultured bacterium
Lineage: Bacteria
Description: partial 16S ribosomal RNA
Rfam family: Bacterial small subunit ribosomal RNA
Source: RNAcentral